UCUCCUAAAUCUCUCUCUGUAUGAGAAAUCUCUCCCAAAUCUCUCCAAGUAUGUAAAAUCUCUCCCAAAUAUCUCUCUGAAUGAGAAAUCUCUCCAAGAAUGUCAAAUCUCUCCAAGUAUGUGAAAUCUCUCCCAAAUCUCUCUCUAUAUGAAAAAUCUCUCCAAGAAUUUCAAAUCUCUCCCAAAUCUCUCCAAGUAUGUGAAAUCUCUCCCAAAUAUCUCUCUGAAUGAGAAAUCUCUCCAAGAAUGUCAAAUCUCUCCCAAAUCUCUCCAAGUAUGUGAAAUCUCUCCCAAAUCUCUCUUUGUAUGAAAAAUCUCUCCAAGAAUGUCAAAUCUCUCCCAAAUCUCUCCAAGUAUGUGAAAUCUCUCCCAAAUAUCUCUCUGAAUGAGAAAUCUCU
Molecule: long non-coding RNA, 398 nt
Filed under: Lactuca sativa (garden lettuce)
Lineage: Eukaryota; Viridiplantae; Streptophyta; Magnoliopsida; Asterales; Asteraceae
Description: long non-coding RNA (LSAT_LNC001987)
Source: RNAcentral